Molecule: long non-coding RNA, 3059 nt
Filed under: Homo sapiens (human)
Lineage: Eukaryota; Metazoa; Chordata; Mammalia; Primates; Hominidae
Description: HSALNT0366998
Source: RNAcentral
AAAAUAAGGCUGAGACCUACUGAAGCAGGACAUUUCACUGACCCCUUUGUGGAACUCGCAACAGGGGUGCCCCGUUUACUCAGCCCACAGCUCUCAACUCCUCAUAGGAGGGAGUGAGCAAGCCAACAAGGCGGGAACUGGAAUACACGAGUGCUAGAAUCAGCUGGCUACUUCAUAGCUGGCAAGAGCAAACUCCACUCACUCAGACCCGCUGCUUUCCACCCCUCGUCGGACAGGGCACACAGGUAACCAAAGAAUCUGACCCAUAGGGUUUCUAACUCACAAAAGGAGGGUCCAACUAUGUGGAAGCUGUCACCUUUGAUGGAAUUUAUCUGAUACCAUAUAACAUAGUGGAAGGAGAGUCAAAGAAUUUGUGGCUAUUUUAAGUCACACAUCAUUUCUUUUUCCAUGCCCCACCCCUGGAACCUUCUCAAGGUGUUUGACUUCAACCAGAGUUGAAGAUCCCCCAUCUGCAAUACUGCUGCACCCCCACCUCAAGCCCCAGCUGAUUGAACCCCAGGUGGAUUCCUGAUUCAGGCAAUCCACAGGCUGGGCUGAAGCAAUCAUGAUGUCUCUCUAAGGAAUAUUAAUUAAAAGCCACAGAGACCCCAGUCAGUUUUAAGGAGGUGUGCCGCCAGAAACCAGGGUCAGCACCAUACCAAACCAAAGUUAUGGAGGAGUAAAAACCAAAAGUCUUGCAGAAGCAGCAGAUUUGGAGACAAAAAAAGCAGAACCCACAUGCAGAAAGAAAAGAGAGGCACCACGUGACCCUUGAGACAAAGUGACAGACAUUCCAGUGCUGCCAGACAGAUUUCCAGUAUCUGUGAGGUCCUGCUGUGCACCAGAGAAGAGAGUUCUGGGAAAACCCCUGCUAUGGGUUGAACUGUAUUCCCCAAACAUUCAUAUGUUGGAGCCUUAACCUCCAGGACCUUAGAAUGGGACCUUACUUGGAAAUAGAGUCAUUGCAGAUGUAAUUAGUUAAGCUGAGUUCCUACUGGAGUAGGGUGGGCCCCUAAUCCAAUAUAUUGUUGUCCUUAUAAAAAGGGGAAGUCUGGAGAAUAGUUAUCCUUCCAAGAUAAACUAUUUGCCAAAUAUGUAACAGAGUAACCAGCCAUUUCCAUAUGGGAUUUCUAGUCAUUUCCCAGUUAAAAAUUAAGGAAUAGGUACACGCAGUAAGAGCACUCAGUGAAGAUGAGGGCAGAGAUCAAGAUGCCACAUCUACAAACCAAGGAACACCAAAGAUUGCCAGAAACUAUCAGAAGCUAGGGGAAAGGCAUGGAACAGUUACUUCUUCACAGCCGUCAGAAGGAACCAACCCUGUUGACACCCGGACCUCAGACGUGAAGCCUCCAGAACCGUGAGAUACAAAAUUCCUGUUGUUUAAGCCACUCAGUUUGUGGUACUUUGUUAUGGCAGCUCUGGAAAAUGAAUAUGACCCCUAUAACUGCAUUUCCAUGUGAGCUCAUUUAAGUGGGUGUCUGUUCCUUGAAGAAGAAAAAUGAUAUGAAUCAAAACAUCCCACCUAAACUGCCUUUGCUCUGAGCAGAGGGAACACCCUCUGGCAGAGCCAGGGUUCUUCUCAGAAAAUUAUUCCCAGUCUCCUCCAGGACUAAGAUAAAUGAAUGAGCAAAGUUUAAAAGUUCUCUUCUAAAGAACAUGGUCAAAAUAGUUUUAGCCUGUAAAAUUUGAAGGCAGAUAAAACCAGAAUUCAGCCUUGGCAGAAUAAACUCUCAAUAAAGUAACCUCAGAUCCUUAGCUCCGAACACCACUUUUUUUUUUCCUGUAUUCCUUCCAAGAUAAACUAUUAGCCAGAUAUGUAACAGAGUAACCAGUCAUUUUUAUAUGGGAUUGUUAUUCAUUGCCCAGUUGAAAAUUAAAGAAUCAGUACAAAAAAAAAAAAAACAAAACACUUUUGUUCUAGGAAAGAGAAUCAGAUAUCCUUUUUUAGCAAUAAUUAACUAGCAAGGUCGUGCUGUCACCACGGUUUUUAAAAUACCCUUUUGUCUUUCAUGGCAAGUGUAUGCAUCUAGACCAUCUGAAAGUGGCUCUAGAACAUGAAAAUAUAAAUGUAAAACAAGAAAGGGGCAGGAAAAGAAUGAGGAGCAGGCAAAACAUAACCACGUGUUGGCUAUUUCUAACUCCCUGGUCCAGGAGUACUCAUUAAUCACUCUAAUCCCACAGAAGUAUAAUGAUUCUGAAUAUCUACAUAUGCCACAAAUUAUCUAAUACUGUUCCUGAUUUACUAGGUGUGGAGUGGCCAUAUAUAAAACCUGACUGUUACUCACAUAAAAUAUUGGCCUGAAACUCUCAGACUUCGAAGCAAGUAGCAGAUUUGGAUGGAAUACACCACAAAUUAAUAAAGCCAUAAUCUAGAGAAGGUAAUAAAUUGACUUUUUAAAUAUGAGAUACUCUAAACUCUGGCUUCAGUGGGGAAGAGUUUUUUUUUUUUACUUCAAGUUAUGCUGAUUUAAUUACAAAAUAAGCUUUUCCAAGGCACUGGCCUUUGUAAUGAAGGUAAAUAUUACAUGUUUGCUAAAAAACAGGGUUUUAUAAAACUCCUCACCUCAUAUAAACAAUUGUAAGUCUUUUGUUUUUUCCAGAAAAAAAAAAACUUUCACUAAGUAUUAGUCACUCAUAUAUCUAUAAAUCUCAGAGGAAUUUCCCCAAGCACUCUGGCUUCCCAAGUAGGAGAUUGUUUCUCCUAGUUCAAGUCUCAUUUCACUGUUAGGCUGGCUGUUAUUUCAUGGUGACUUGCCAUGUUAAUAGUAUGUCUUCUAAUCCACGAAUGUGAUAUAGCUCUCCAACUUAUUUGAGUCCUCUUCAGUUUUACUCAACAGUGUUUUGUAGUUUUCUGUGUAUAGGUUUUGGAAAUCCAUAAUUAAAUUUAUCCUUGGGUAUUCUAUGGUUCUUUGUUAUUAUGAAUUGUAUUUUUUAUCUCAUUUCCCAAUUGUUUUGCUGGUAUACAGAAAUAUAAUUUAUUUACCUAUAUGGACCUGGAAAAUUACAGCUUUGUUAAUUAAAUUCAACUAGUUAUAUUAGUUGUUUUGCAGAUUCCUUAG